RNAcentral lists this ribosomal RNA (253 nucleotides) under uncultured bacterium. RNAcentral's name for it is "partial 16S ribosomal RNA". It matches the Rfam family "Bacterial small subunit ribosomal RNA", at positions 524 to 776 of the family's 1533-position model. The record is from RNAcentral.
UACGUAGGUGGCAAGCGUUAUCCGGAUUUACUGGGUUUAAAGGGUGCGUAGGUGGAUUUGUAAGUCAGUGGUGAAAUCUCCGGGCUUAACCCGGAAACUGCCAUUGAUACUAUAAGUCUUGAAUUAUCUGGAGGUAAGCGGAAUAUGUCAUGUAGCGGUGAAAUGCUUAGAUAUGACAUAGAACACCAAUUGCGAAGGCAGCUUACUACGGAUAUAUUGACACUGAGGCACGAAAGCGUGGGGAUCAAACAGG